Betta splendens (Siamese fighting fish) is the source of this 2899-nucleotide long non-coding RNA. The record is from Ensembl. NCBI's taxonomy places the organism in Eukaryota, Metazoa, Chordata, Actinopteri, Anabantiformes, Osphronemidae.
GAAAGGAGGAGCAAUCUUCAAGUUUAUUGCCAGGUGCAUUCAAAAACAGACCAGUCGUCUACAUCUGGAGAAGAGAGAAGCAACAGCAUGGAAAGACAACUCCUUUACUGGACAUUACUGCUUGGAUUACUUCAUGCAUCCUGUGGCCAAUCAACAACAGAAGUACCAACAACCAUAACUGAGGCAACAACAACUGAAGCAAUAACGACCACAGCAGCAGCAACGACAAUCACAACUCAAGCAACAAUGGAUACAACUCAAGGAGUGACGACAAUCACAACUGAAGCAACAGCGACCACAGCCACAGCAACUGAACCAUCAACAACAACAACUACCCCUGCUUCACUCAUCAUACCUGAUACAACUACCACUGCUCCAACUACCACGCCUGAUACAACUACCACUAGUCCUGAAACAACUACCACACCUGAAACAACUACCACUAGUCCAGAAACAACUACCACACCUGAAAAAACUACCACUGCUCCACCCACCACACCUGAAACAACUACUACUAGUCCUGAAACAACUACCACUGCUCCACCCACCACACCUGAAACAACUACUACUAGUCCUGAAACAACUACCACUACUCCACCCACCACACCUGAAACAACUACCACUACUCCAACUACCUCACCUGAUACAACCACCACUAGUGCUGAAACAACUACCACUGCUCCAAAACCCACACCUGAAACAACUACCACUACUCCACCCACCACACCUGAAACAACUACCACUACUCCAACUACCUCACCUGAAACAACUACCACUAGUCCUGAAACAACUACCACUGCUCCAACCACCACCCCUGAAACAACUACCACUACUCCAACUACCACACCUGAAACAACUACCACUAUUCCUGAAACAACUACAACUGCUCCACCCACCACGUCUGAAACAACUACCACUACUCCAACAACCACACCUGAUGCAGCUACCACUAGUCCUGAAACAACUACCACUGCUCCAACCACCACAUCUGAAACAACUACAACUAGUCCUGAAACAACUACCACUAGUCCUGAGACAACUACCACUGCUCCACCCACCACUCCUGAUACAACUACUACUGCUCCAACCACCACACCUGAAACAACUACCACUACUUCAACUACCACACCUGAAACAACUACCACUAUUCCUGAAACAACUACCACUGCUCCACCCACCACACCUGAAACAACUAACACUAGUCCUGAAACAACUACCCCUGCUCCAACAACCACACCUGAUACAACUACCCUGACUUCAACCAGUGAUGCAGCGUUUGUCACAACUCCAUUGACCACAACUACUAUCACUACUCCACCCACCACACCUGAAACAACUACCACUGCUCCAACCACCACACCUGAUACAACCACAACUUCUCCAACCACCACACCUGAGCCAACUACCACUACUCCAAUCACCACACCUGAUACAACUACCACUACUCCAACCACCAUACCUGAUACAACUACCACUGCUCCAACCACCACACCUGAUACAACCACAACUUCUCCAACCACCACACCUGAGCCAACUACCACUACUCCAAUCACCAUACCUAAUACAACUACCACUACUCCAACCACCACACCUGAUACAACCACAACUUCUCCAACCACCGCACCUGAAACAACUACCGCUACUCCAACCACCACACCUGAAACAACUACCACUGCUCAAACCACAACAACUGAAGUCAUAACGACAGAAACAGGAACCACAACCACAUUACCAACAAGCACAGCAACAACAACCACAACAACUGAAGCAACAACAACUACAACUAAAGUAACGACCACAACCACAGCAACUACAUCACCAACAACAACAACUACAUCAUCAACAACAACAACCACCUCACCAACAACGACAACCACAUCACCGACGACGACAACCACAUCACCAACGACGACAACUUUAUCAACAACAAUAACAACCACAUCGUCAGGCUUAGUAUCACUGGUACAUCUAGAGAUGACGCUCACAGCCUUUGGGCAGGUGACCAAUGAGACAAUCACUAACCUUGUUGAUAAGUUUUUAAUGGAGACCCUAAAUCUAACAGCCUCCAGCAUCAAAAUCAAACAACAAACAUUGUCAGCAUGAGUGUUAACAACCACAACAAUGGAAGCACCAUCAAUUAACAAACAAAUUUAACUAAGAACUACAAUCUCAACACUACUAUUGUGUUGUAGAACUACAAUUCCAGCAGCAACUAGAAAAAGUGAAGCAUCAACAACCAGUCCAUCAUAACCUGCUGAAACUGCCCUGUUUUCUUUUUGUUCACUAAUAUUUAUUUCUCUCCAUCAUAAUUAUAUUUACAUGUGUUUAUGCAGAUACUGUAGUUUGUAGUCACUUGUCUUCCCUGAUUGACGCCUGUUGUCCUUAAGGUCUCACUUUUUAUUUCUAAUGAAAUUAAUCACCAGGUUAAAUGGUCUUCAUCCAUCAAUACUUAUUUUUUAUUGUAAACUUCAACUUAGGCAGCUCCACUUUGUCACUUGUUUGUUAAAACAAUCUGAACAUAGUGUGUGAUCUUUUAUUUUGCUUAGACUACUGUCAUUUAUUGUGAUCCUGUUUUAGCUCCUAGUGUUUGUAUUAUUUCCUGACCUACACUAACUAUCACUGAACCACAGGUCUCUGUCUGAAGCAAAAUGGUGUUAAAUGGUCUUAUUGGGAUUUUGUUGACUUUUGACAAUUUUCAUCUUCAGGAAACUUGGUUAAAAAUCUUUUUAAUCAUAGUUACAUUCUGGGUAUCAUAAAUCAGAGAUUGACUGAAAAGUGAUAUUUGUAGCAUAGUGAACAUGAGACCAUGUGAUCCAACAGGACAUCAAGAAACUGCCACGCUGACAAGUUUGGUAACCAGGAAACUAAUAAACUAUGUUUCUUGCUUAAUCCUUUGUCA